CUGGAUUUGUUGAAUCAUCCUUGCUUUUCUAGCAAGUGUCAGGAAUGUGUAGGUCCCUGAUUUCGGUCAAGUUUAGAGGAAUGUGUCUAUUGCUUUGCAAUCAAGUCUCGAGGCUAACAUUAAAAUCAACGCGAUUAGCAAUUGUUACAUUAGUUGAAAAGAUCAACUGAGAAAAGACCCCAAAGAUUGGAGGAUGGUGAACACCGAUCUGUCCAGCAUUGAGUUGUUGGUGUCCCUCCAAUGCCUGGAAAACCAAUCCACAGACAGGCUGGCCAGGCCUGGUAGCAAAACUGGUAAGAGUCUUUGGUGAUUUCGGACAACAAUUGACAUCUGACCCCUCCGAGAUGGUAGAUGUAUUGAACUUCUGAUAUGAUGUCCAUACAUAAGAGGAAGCAGCAAUUUGCUUAGUCUCUUGCAAGAGUGGUAAUUGAGAAAGAUCCCUCAAUUAAUUCCAACAGUUUAUGUGUAAUGAAGAUUCAGACUCUGACCAUGGACCUCCUGUAGAUCCCUCCAUGGAUGACACCCCUUAUGAGAAUGGAUGAUAUACCCAUGUCUACGGGUUCCACUCCCCAUGGGUCGGACAGUGAGUUCUGGGAAAAAGUUGGAGGUUGUGGACUUCUGAGG
Molecule: non-coding RNA, 624 nt
Organism: Pelobates cultripes (western spadefoot toad)
Lineage: Eukaryota; Metazoa; Chordata; Amphibia; Anura; Pelobatidae
Source: the annotation of a GenBank genome assembly